This 15183-nucleotide long non-coding RNA is filed under the name Populus tremula. Its description in RNAcentral is "long non-coding RNA (PTRE_LNC001332)". Lineage: Eukaryota; Viridiplantae; Streptophyta; Magnoliopsida; Malpighiales; Salicaceae. The record is from RNAcentral.
AAUUGCUAUAGACAAUUAUUGGACUGCUCCAUUCAGCUACUUCAUUUGUUCAUGCCAGUUGCAUUCUUCACUCCUUCAACAGCUGCCUGUGCCGUAGACAUCACCUGUUCACCAGCCUACACCAAGAACAAGUAUCAUAAUUAAAUUACACAUCUGUUCGUUUUAUUCUUGAGCACAAGCUAUAUAUUGUAGUGGUGAGGAUGAAUUCUCUGGGGAAAAAAACACAGAAAAUGAGAUUGAAGGAGAGUAUUUGAAUACCCCUUGCACUGAUUCCUUUGCAUAUUGAGCAGCAUUACCAGCUUUUUCCAUCAAGGUAGGACUGGUCUUCUCCUGAAACAAACAAAAUCCAUGCCUUAUCAUGUAUUGGAAGAGAAAUAUCAUUGUGUUCUUGAGCACAAGCUACUGUAGAGGUGAGGAUGAAUUCUCUAAGAAAAAAAACAUAGAAAAAGACAUUGAAGGAGAGUAUUUGAAUACCCCUUGCACUGAUUCCUUUGCAGAUUGAGCAGCAUUACCAGCUUUGUCCACCAAGGUACUGGCCUUCUCCUGAAACGAACAAAAUCCAUGCCUUCUCAUGUAUUAGAACAGAAAAAUCAAGCAGAUUCAUGAAUUAAAAGGAAGAAAUAAACAAAUUUCACAGGCUGACCUGAACUUGGCCCUUGGCCUCACCAGCUUGGAAGCUCAUCUUCUGGGUAUUGUCAGCCAUCUUUGGUUUCUGAUUUCUUUAAAAGAUUUGGAAGAACUCAAAUAAAUUCUCAGAUUCUUGAAAAAACAAAACUCUUGGUAGUAAAGGAAUGCGAUGGCAGCCAUAAUUUAUACUGAUUAAAACCAGUCCAUUGCUGGACACGUGCAAUGCCACGUGUCAAGCUAUAGAUUGCUUGGAAUAUCAUCCGUUAUUGAGGUUGAGAUUUUGGGGGCCUUUGACCAGGGGUGUUGUGAAUUUUUGAAUAAUUCAUGUGCUAACUUUCUUUCUUUGUUUGUUUUUUAUUUUAUUCAAAAAAAAAUUCUUUCGGUUUUUUUUCAAGACAUUCAUUUAAGAAAGGAUCAUGAUUAGUUUAUGUGACUAAUUUGAAGAAACACUCUUGAAUAUUUAAUUAACAUAAACUUUAUUGUUUUAGAUUUGCUGAUCAAAAUACUGAGAUUUUAUUUGAAUUUUUUUAUUUAAAUUUUGCUUUAAGACAAUAAUGGAUUUUUUAUAGAUAAUAGUGCUUUCAAUUUACAAAAUAUCUUGAUAUUAGGUUCAUCAUUGAUUUUAUAAUUGUUUAUUUUUCAUAUUAUUAAACAAAUAUAGUUUUUAAAAAUAUAAUGUCAAGUUAAGAUUUUUCUAGUUUAAUUUAUUGAAUCGAAUUUAAUAAUCAUAUAAAAAAUUUAUCAUGACUUGAAUAUAUUUUUAAUUUAAUUCGUCGAAAGAAGUUACUUACUAGGUCCAUUAUAUAUGUUGUCUAUUUGCAGGAUUAAAAAUUUUAGGUAGCUUCCUGUAUAGAUGAGGUGUUGCCGAAUUUUUUUAAAAAAAUUGAAAUUGUGCCCCCCUCAAAAAAAAAAAAAUGUGUAGAUGCCUUGAGGAAAAUCAAUUGUACACCAUGAGAACAAGAUCACUACUAGUUCUUCUAAUAAUGAUAGUGACAAUCAUAAGUCAUUAGGUGUCGACCAAUAAGAGACACUUGAGACGCAAGCAUCGACUCACGACCUUGCCUUAUCAAGUGCAAUGCCGCAAUGUCGAGGGGUCCCUUCACAGUGGGAUCCAUUCACACCGCAUGUAUAAGGCCCAAUGGAAAGGCAACAUUUCAAUGUAAGUUUGUUUGCUUUUACAAUGACAUGUUUAAUAAUAUCGUAAAAACCGUAUUUCAUUAAAUUUAUUCAAUUUCAUGUUUACAAACAUUGAGGCUGCCCAAACAAUAACUCAACAUUUAAAUCAUCAAUGAUAAUUUCAUUUUUUCAAUGGAACGAGGUUUCCAAACAUCCUAAAUGAAAACCGGAAGUCGAUGCUUGGUUUUCAAGGUUUAAGAUUAAUAUUAACUUAAUUUUUUUUAUUAUUUUAAUUUGUUUGCUUUAUUGAAAUUACUAAAAAAUUUCUUUUUAUAAAUUUUUAUUGCAAGGGAAAAUUUGAAUUGGAUAGAGCUAAUGAUAAUGUUGCGAGGAAGGUUUGGAAGAAUUACGCUACAACUAAGUAACAUCGAAAUCAUGAUAAUUUUUUAAUUCAAAAUAUUAAAAUUUUAUUUGUCAUUUACUUAUAGAUAAUUUGUUUGUAUCAUACAGGUCGCAUGAUUUUUAUACAAGGUACAAAAGAAAUCCAAAGAAUAUACGAAAGAAAGUGAUCUACCAAGUUGAAAUGACAUGGCGAGUAGGACGGAUUUUAGGCCACCAUACAUAUUGAAGACUAUAUGGGUGGAAUACAUUCAGCAUGUGAUGUCCGCGCGUAUCAUGCAACAGUCACAGUUCAGUGCUGGGAACUGGAGCUGAAAAAUUCAUGGUUAUGUUAUCACACACAUCGGCGGCUCCGUUUCGAUCAUUUUCACAUGAAAAGAGGAUAGUAAGAUUUUUUUUAAUUGCAUCCAUUUUUUAAUUGAUUGUUUCUUAUAAAUAUAUUUAACUGGCAACAUUUUUAUUUUGUAGGCUACAGUUCUUGGACAUGAGCCAAGUCCAAUUGAGCUUUUUGUGGAAACACACGUGUGAAGUGAUGACUGCCAAAAAGAAAUGCAACAAUUCGUAGAUAGCCAAGCUCAACAUUUUGUAGUAUAUUUGUUUUCAACCCUUUUUUAAAAAAAUUAUUAUUUACUUGAAUUUGAUGAAUUUGUUUUUUAUUUUCAGGAGACAUAUAACAGCCGGUUAAAAGAGAGAUACAUGGACGAUUCUUCUACCCAUCCAGAUAUCGAUCUAGAUUUAUAGUUGAAGGUAAGAUCAUUUGGUGCCCUUGAUAGAAAUUGGGUAUGUAGACUCUUUAACACUAUGACCAAGAACUUGCAGGCGAACUAUACUGUGUCAACCGUUAGAUGCUCACAAUCGGUCCCGAACACUUAAUCUCUAGAGUUCACAACCUUGUUAGAUCAAGGAGUACAUGAACAUACGAUCCAUUUCCAUGAAAAUAUGAACGAAUCUCUAUGGAUUAUGAAAAACUCUGUAGAUUGGUAAUGAAGAUAAGAUCACAUAUAGGUGAUACAUGUGCACCUUAUUAUUGUCCCCAUGGUCUCGACGACAACUAGCAUUCUCCUCCUCCACCUCAAGCACCAUCUCUAAUCUAAUUUUAUUAUAUUUGAACAUAUAAAUGUUUAAAUUUGUAAUAAAUAUUUGAUUUUUAUAUUAAAAUAAUCUAUUUUUAAAUAUUUCAAUUUUAUAUUAAUUUAAUUUUUUAGCUAUUUUGUAUUUUAGUUUAGUAGAUUUUUUAAAAAAUAUUUUUAAAUUAUUAUUGAUGGGGUUGCUAAUAGACUUAUUUCGUCGGUAUAUUCCAGAGAGUUGGAAAAAAAUUACAGCAAAUGUCAAUGCUACUAUUAACUUACCAACGAAAUCAGUAUGUCAGUAUAUUCUAGAGAGUUGAAAAAACAUUACUGCAAAUGUCACUGUAACUUUUAACUCACUAAUGGAAUAAGCUCGUUAAUAUAUUUUAGAGAGUUGGAAAAGAGUUACAGUAAAUGGCACUGCAACUAUUAACUCAAUAAUGAAAUUACAUAUAAUUCUCAUGUUGGUGAUAUGUUAAAUUGUACCGAGAGAAUGAUUGGUGUAAUGAAACGGAUAAUUUUUUUUUCACGCACAUAUUCCAUCUAUAAAAUCAUCAAUGAACUUAUUGAAAGAUAAAAAAUUACAUAUAAAUAUUUUUCUAACAUAUAUUUUUUAUUCAUGACUGUGUUGAUAAAAUAAUUACAGACGAAUUGUUGGUCUAAAUACUGUGAAAUAUUCUUGUGGUGAGAAGCAUGAAAUGAUUCAUCAGUGUUAAUGUCAACCUCUGAGUAGAACAAGCUGUUAAAUGGAGACAGAUUGACCAACUCUUUGUAUCUACUAUGCUCAAUAAAAUCCUACAAACAAAAUAAAAAACAAUUUGUUUGGGGAUUUUAUCUAAUUUGGUGGGCUUGCCUUAUUUUGUUAAUUAAAAGGUAAUAGAUACAUUAAAAAAAACAACACAAAUUAAAACCUGCUUAUAAUUUAGAAAAAAACCACCUGUCUUUCAUUUUUAACAACAUAGAAAUUGCACCACCACUGUCGCAGUGUAUUUUAAAAAGGAGAGGCCACUUUGUUCACGAAUGUAGCCACCCUUCUCAACUCCUCUCCCAGAAACAGCCCCUCCCUUCUCGCCACCUCCCUGUUCCCAAAUCUACCAACCUUCUCCACCUCUCAAGUCCUCUAUAAAAAGACAGCUCCUCCUUUCUGGCUUCCCUCAUUCUCGGAUCUAGCCAUCCUUUCCAUCCCCCUCUCGAAAAAGGCUUCUCUCUUUCGCUACCCCUUGUUUCUUAUGUUAAAAAAAUUUGUAACUGAUAUUAUUAUCCGAAGCAACGUUGCAUCAAAAACUAGGUAAUUUGUUAAGUAAUUUGUUAGAGAAAUGCCGCUUGCCUUCCUUGAGCAUCUUAUUGCCAGAAUCUCAAGCAUUUUUAUGAACAUGGAUUCACCUUCUUACGUCUGCCUGUGAAUUGUAAUGCGGGAAGGAAAAACGUUAAGUCUAAUAAUCAAAUACAUUUAGCAGUGAAUUAAUAGCAAAGUAUAGAUAUAGAGGGCCAUCUGGAUAUGCAGGAUGCCAUGAAGAUGAAGGAAUGUUGUACUCUCAUAAACUGAGACAGAAGAUCUUUAAACAAGUACGAAAAUGAAGUAAAAUUUCACUAAUUAAGGCAACAUCUGCCUGCAAACAUCGAUCACGAGAGAGCUACAGAGAGAGCUCUCUUCUUUAUACAAAAGGAAAUGGCAGAAACAAAACAACAGAUGAACAUUGCAUUCAAUUUCUAAAUUGCUAUAGACAAUUAUUGGACUGAUCCAUUCAGCUACUUCAUUUGUUCAUUCCAGUUGCAUUCUUCACUCCUUCAACAGCUGCCUGUGCCGUAGACAUCACCUGUUCACCAGCCUACACCAAGAACAAGUAUCAUAAUUAAAUUACACAUCUGUUCGUUAUUUUCUUGAGCACAAGCUACUGUAGUGGUGAGGAUGAAUUCUCUGGGGAAAAAACACAGAAAAUGAGAUUGAAGGAAAGUAUUUGAAUACCCCUUGCACUGAUUCCUUUGCAUAUUGAGCAGCAUUACCAGCUUUGUCCAUCAUGGUAGGACUGGUCUUCUCCUGAAACAAACAAAAUCCAUGCCUUAUCAUGUAUUGGAAGAGAAAUAUCAUUGUGUUCUUGAGCACAAGCUACUGUAGAGGUGACGAUGAAUUCUCUAAAAAAAAAACAUAGAAAUGAGAUUGAAGGAGAGUAUUUGAAUACCCCUUGCACUGAUUCCUUUGCAGAUUGAGCAGCAUUACCAGCUUUGUCCAUCAAGGUACUGGCCUUCUCCUGAAACGAACAAAAUCCAUGCCUUCUCAUGUAUUAGAGCAGAAAAAUCAAGCAGAUUCAUGAAUUAAAAGGAAGAAAUAAACAAAUUUCACAGGCUGACCUGAACUUGGCCCUUGGCCUCACCAGCUUUGAAGCUCAUCUUCUGGGUAUUGUCAGCCAUCUUUGGUUUCUGAUUUCUUUAAAAGAUUUGGAAGAACUCAAAUAAAUUCUCAGAUUCUUGAAAAAACAAAACUCUUGGUAGUAAAGGAAUGCCAUGGCAGCCAUAAUUUAUACUGAUUAAAACCAGUCCAUUGCUGGACACGUGCAAUGCCACGUGUCAAGCUAUAGAUUGCUUGGAAUAUCAUCUGUUAUUGAGGUUGAGAUUUUGGGGGCCUUUGACCAGGUGGGUUGUGAAUUUUGUGAAUAAUUCAUGUGCUAACUUUCUUUGUUUGUUUGACAAAAUAAACAAAUAAUUCAAUUAAAAAAUUAAAGAAUCCAAAAUCUGGAACCCAACUCUUAAUAGAAACCAACAUUUUCAUACAUGUAAGUGUUGUCCAAAUUUUAUAAGACAAUUGAGAAAAAAAAGAUUUAGUUUAUGUGACUAAUAUGAAAAAACUUCUUGAAUAUUUAAUUAGCAUAAACUUGAUUUUUUUUAGAUUUGUUUAUUAAAUAUUUUUAAUAUUUUUUAAUUAUAUACAAAUUACCGAGAUUUUAUUUGAAUGUUCCAUUUAAAAUUUGUUUUCAAAAUUAUAAUGGAUUUUUAUUUAGAAAAUAAUGCUUGUAAUUUAUAAAAUAUCCUAAUAAUAGAUUAAUUAUUGAUUUUAUGAUUAUUUUUUAUUAUAUUAUUAAAUAAAAUAUAAUUUUAAAAAAUAUAAAAUCAGUUAAAAAUUUUUAAGUUUGAUUUACUUGAUAAAAUUUAAUAAUAAUUUUAAAAAAAUUCUCAAAUACUUUUUUUUAUUUAAUUUGAUGUAGCAUAAAAGUUAUGUUUAUUGGAAGUUCUAGUCAUUGGUAGGUUUGACUGAGUCUUUAGGAAUUUGUUAUUUGAUUUAGCGGCUGAGAAAGUGUCUUCUUCAUGAUAUUAUUUAGAGGAAUUGUGGUGAGUGCGUUCUAAUGUAAAGUCUAUUAAUAGGUCUUUUUUUUUUUCAUUGUCAAGAACAUAGCUUUCUCUUUCAACAAGUCUCUUUUGUUAUUUUUCUUUAUUUAGUAAUAGUGGUAGCAUAGCCGGGUUAGUGAGAUAAAAGCAAAAGAGAAAAAGUUCUCAAAUAGUGAGUCUCCAAAAUAGUUCAAAUAGCAGUAGCUCUUUUUUCCUCAUAUUUAUAUCUUGCAGAAAACGAGGUACUUAAAUUCCAAUUUUGUGCAAGCAGUAAUCCCACAUUUUAAUGUUCAUUAUAACCAUUGGAGUAUGUUAAUUGGGAACUUUCUUCGAUCAAAAAAAUAUUGGUCGAUUAUUGAAUCUGGAAUUGAAGAAUUAGCAACAACUGCAGUCUUGAUAGAUGCCCAGAAAACAUAGUUGGAAAAGAGAAAACUUAAAUAUUUGAAGGCAAAAAAUUAGAGAAAGCUUAAAUAUUUGAAGGCAAAAAAUUAUCUUUGUCAUGCAAUUGAUUGUCCCAUCUUGGAAAUAAUUCUUAGCAAAGAAACUAGGAUAUGUGAGAUUCCAUGAAAAAAAAAAAAUCAAGGUUCUACUAGAGUAAAGCAUGUACAGCUUCAAGUCUUGAGACGAGACCCUACAUAUGAAGGUUGGAGAAUAUGUCACCAACUAUUGUGCCAUAAUUAUGGAGAUAAACAACAAAAUGCGAUUUUCAUGGUGAGAAGAUGGAUGAUGGUGUUAUUGUUGAAAAGAUAUUGCAUUCUUUAACAAUAAAAUAUGAUUAUGUUGUAUGUUUGAUUGAAGAAUCAAAAGACAUAAAUACACUCUUUCUUGAUGAACUGUAAAGCUCUUUUUAGUCAAUGAACAAAAGAUGAAUUGAAGUUCAAAUACAAACGAGCAAGCUUCAAAGGCUUUUACCUUUACUCAGUUCUCAAAUUUUAGAGGAAGAGGUAAAGGUAAAGAAAAGGGAGGUAGAGGUAAUAAAGAUGGCAACAUACAAUACUUUAAGGCUGGUGAUGAUCAAUAUCAAGGCAGAGACAGAGGACAGGUUCAACACUUUAACAAAUCUAAGGUAGAGUGUUUCAAAUGUCAUAAAUUUGAACAUUAUCAUUCUAAGUGUUAUGCUAGGCUACCUAAUGACAAAGCAAAGGAGAGCAAUUGUAUUUUGCUGAAAAACAAAUCCAUCUUCUAAUGGAGGUAAAAGAUAUUUAAUUACCUUCAUUGAUGCUUUUCCUCGAAAAACUUGGGUUUAUUUUUUACAGCAAAAAUCAAAAGCUCUAUGUGUAUUUUAAAGCUUUAAGGCUCAUGUGGAGAAUGAAACAUGAGAGAUUGUUAAGACCCUUCGAACAAUUAUGGUGGAGAAUAUUGCUCAACCGAAUUUGAAGUUUUUUGUAUGGAUCAUGGCAUUCAAAGGGAACUCACAGCUACUUAUACACCACAAUAAAAUGGUGUAUCAGAGCAAAAAAAAAAAAGUCUAUUGUAGUAGCUCGAUCUCUUCCUCGUAUUCGAAAAAGGCCUGCAUAGAGGGAAGACUAUAAGGUAACUCGAAUUGAAGAUCCAAUCACUCACUUUGCUUUAUUUUCAGAUUGUAAUCCUACAACCUUUGAAAAUGCUGUCAAAAAAGCAAAAUGGAGGAAGGCGAUGGAUGAUGAAAUUGAUGCCAUUGAAAGAAAUGACAAUUGGGAGCUGACUGAUAUUUCGAAAGCACAUAAAACCAUUAGUUUAAAGUGGGUUUUCAAAACAAAACUAAAAUAACAUGGUAAAGUUGAUAAAUAUAAGGCACGUUUGAUAGCUAAGGGAUAUAAACAAGAAUAUAGGAUCGAUUAUAUAGAAGUUUUUGCUCCCGUUGGAAGACAUGAUACAAUCAGAUUGGCGGCGUAGAACUUGUGGCCUAUUUUCCAAUUGGAUGUCAAAUCAACAUUCUUGCAUUAAAACUUGAAAGAACAAGUAUUUGUAGAACAACCUUUUGGUCAUAUUAAGAUCAUAAAUGAGCAUAAAGUUUAUAGAAUAAAUAAAGCUCUUUAUGGAUUAAAACAAGCUUCACGAGCUUGGUAUAAUCACAUUGAUACUUAUUUUUUGAAAGAAGGCUUUCACAAAUGUCCAUAUGAGCACGUACUAUUUGUUAAAAUUGAAGAUAAGGAGAAAUUGCUCAUUGUUUACUUAUAUAUAGAUGAUCUUAUAUUUACUAGAAAUGAUGUUGUUAUGUUUAAGGAAUUCAAGAAAUAUAUGAUGAUUGAAUUUGAAAUGUUUGACCUUGGUAUGAUGCAUUAUUUUCUUGGUAUAGAAGUAGUGCAAUCCGCUAAUGGGAUAUUUAUUUCUCAAAAUAAGUACGUGUAAGAUAUUUUGGACAAGUUUCAAAUAAGGGAUUGCAAUUCUAUUAGCACUCCAACUAAAUUUGGCUUGACGUUAAACAAAGAUCAUGAAAGGAAAGAAGGUGGAUAACACAUUUUACAAAGCAAAUUGUUGGCAGUUUGAUGUAUUUAACUACAACAAGACCAGACAUAAUGUAUUUUGUGAGCUUAAUUAGUAAGUAUGUGGAGAAUCCAACAGAAAUGCAUUUGUUUGGAGCCAAGAGGAUCCCUCGUUACUUGCAAGGAACUAAAGAUUUUGGGUUGUUCUACAAGAAGGGCGAAAAGUAGUUGUUUAGGUUCUUUAACAAUGAUUAUUCAUGAGAUCAAACUGAUAAAAAAGCACUUCGGGUUAUGUGAGUUAUUUUUAUGUUGGGCACAGGUGUUGUUUCAUGGUCUUUAAGAAGCAACAAAUUGUCAUCUUAUUAACAAAUUGUCUGAAUUUAUUGUUGCCAUAGCUUGUGCUUGUCAAGCUAUCUAGUUAACAAGAAUUCUUGAAGAACUACAAUUCUAGCAAAUUAAGGUUACUAGUUUUUUAUGAUAACAACUCAGUGAUUAAACCUUCAAGAAUCUAGUAAACGGAAGACAACCAUAUCAAUGUUAAAUAUUAUUAUUUUAAGAGAUCUAAGUCUGGUUUAUCAUCGAAGUGAAGACCAAAUUAUAGAUAUACAGGCCAAGUCUCUCAAAUUUGCUAUAUUUGUUAAAUUACAUAAUCUACUUGGAGUUUGUUCAUGUUCUAAAGUGAACGAGAAUUUUACAGAGGAUUGAUUUUCCUUUUAAACUGAUAUAUGUAGAUUUCAGUUUAAUAAAGAGUGUUAAGAGUUAAGUGUUUUAUUUAAUGUUUAUUGAAAGUUCUAGUCUUUGGUACGUUUGACAAAGUCUUUAGAAAUUUAUUAUUUAAUUUAGUUGCUGAAAUGUACGAUGCUAUUUUAUUAUGAUGAAUGCGUUCUGAUAUAAAACCUAUUUAUAAUUUAUUUAUUUUAUUCUCAAGAAUAGAGUUCUUUUUUAACACGUCUCUUUUUUUAUUUUUACGUACUAGGUCCCACUAAACACAGUGUGUCGGAAUGAUUAUUACGGAGGUGACUGGAGUUGUCAGAAACCUGAUAAAGGCUAAGGACUGUCCGUUGUUCAUUGAUGACAAAGGUACGGAUGUGAGCUAUUAUUGGCCACAUAUCUACUUCAUUAUUAUUAUUAUUAUUAUUAUUAUUUAACUUUUGACUAGAUUACAAAUAUAUAUUAUACGUUUUCCUAUUUUUCUUUGGAAGUCAUACAAACUUGUAUAUUUUAUUUAUCUUUUUCUCACAACAAAAAUUAGUUAUAUUAUAUUUUCUAUUAUAAAAAAACAAAGAAAACAUUUACAAAAAAAGUACCAUAUUAAUAUUAAAACAUAAAAAAGGAAAGAUUCCUUGAUAGAAAAACAAACCAUGAAAAAAUAAUAUUAAUUAAUAUUUUUUUAGACUUUAAUCUUUGUUCUGUAAACUCACAACAUAUUUUUUAUGUAACAAAAUUAAUAUGUGGAACUUAUUUUGUCUUCUUUCAAGCACGUCCAUCCUAUUAGGAAAAUCUAAUUUUUUUUCCGACACAUUAAAAUUAUAAUUUCGUUAAAAUAAUAUAGUUCACAUCAAAAUUGAUUUAAUUUGGUGAUUAGAAAAUAAAAAUAUGUAUGAAAAAAAUUUAAUAAUAUAAAGAUAUAAUUAUCCGAAGCAGCAACUUCUCAUAAAAGACUAGUUUGUUAAGAAAUUUCUCAGAGAAAGCAUCUUAAGGCCAGAAUCUUAAGCAUUUUUUAUGAACAUGGAUUCAUCACCUUCUGAUGUUUGCCUGUGAAUUUGUAAAAGCAUGAGUGGAGUGUUUUAUUAUUUUUUAAUAAGUUUGAUAUUUUUUUUCUAGAAAUAUGUAAAAUUAUCAUUUAUAAAAGAGAAAAUAUUAUUUUAAUAUUUGUUUAGCACUUUAAUAUGCAAAAUAAAUAUAAAAAAUUUAAAAUAAUAUUUUUUAAUAUUUAGCUUUUCAUUUAAGACACCCAUGGGAGAUGCUCUAAUGUGUGAAGGCAAACGUUAGCUCUAAUCAAAUAAAUUUAGCAGUGAAUUAAGAGCAAAGUACAUACACAUAUAUAUAUAUAUACACACACACACACAUAAAUAUAUAUAUAUAUAUAUAUAUAUAUAUAGGGCCAUCUGCACAUGAAGAUGAAGCAAUGUUGGGAUCUCAUAAACCGAGGCAGAAGAUCUUUAAACAAGUACGAAACUGAAAGUAAAUUUCAGUAAUUAGGGCAAUAUCUGCCUGCAAACAUCACGAGAGAGCUACAGAGAGAGAUCUCUUCUUUAAUCAAAAGGAAAUGACAGAAACACAACAAUAGAUGAACAUUGCAUUCAAUUUCUAAAUUGCUCCAUUCAGCUAAUUCAUUUGUUCAUGCCAGUUGCCUUCUUAAUUCCGUCCACAGUUCCCUGUGCCGUAGACAUCACCUGUUGACCAGCCUACACCAAGAGCAAGUAUCAUAAUUAAAUUACACAUCUGUUCGUUAUAUUCUUGAGCACAAGCUACUGUAGCGGUGAGGAUGAAUUCUCUAGGAAAAAAAACACAGCAAAUGAGAUUGAAGGAAAGUAUUUGAAUACCCCUUGCACUGAUUCCUUUGCAUAUUGAGCAGCAUUACCAGCUUUCUCCAUCAUGGUAGGACUGGUCUUCUCCUGAAACAAACAAAAUCCAUGCCUUAUCAUGUAUUGGAAGAGAAAUAUCGUUGUGUUCUUAAGCACAAGCUACUGUAGAGGUGAGGAUGAAUUCUCUUAAAAAAAAACAUAGACAUGAGAUUGAAGGAGAGUAUUUGAAUACCCCUAGCACUGAUUCCUUUGCAGAUUGAGCAGCAUUACCAGCUUUUUCCACCAAGGUACUGGCUUUCUCCUGAAACAAACAAAAUCCAUGCCUUCAUGUAUUAGAAGAGCAAGAUCAAGCAGAUUCAUAAAUAAAAAGGAAGAAAUAAACAAAAUUCAAAGGCUGACCUCAGCUCGGCCCUUGGCCUCGCCAGCUUGGAAGCUCAUCUUCUGGGUAUUGUCAGUCAUCUUUGGUUUCUGAUUUCUUGUGAGAGAUUUGGAAGAAUUCAAAUAAAUCGAAAGCUCAAAUGCUUGAAAAAUGAAAACUCUUGGUAGUAAAGGAAUGCCAUAGCAGCCAUGAUUUAUACUGGUUUAAACCAGUCCGUCGCUGGACAUGUACUAUUCCACGUGUCAAGCUACGAUUGCUCGGAAUAAUAUCUGUUUUGAGGUUGAGAUUAUGGGGGCCUUUCACCAGGGGGGUUGUGAAUAAUUAAUGUGCUAAUUUUCUUUGUUUGUUAAAAAAAUAAUAAAAAGUUCUUUCGGUUAUUUCUUAACAGAUUCAAUUAAGAAAGGAUCAUGAUUGAGGGAUCCAAAAUCUUGAGCCCAAGACACCAAAGUUACAUACAUACAAUAUUGUCCAAAUCUUAUGACAUGAUUGAGAAAAAACAUAUUAUAUACAUACAAUAUUGUCCAAAUCUUAUGACAUGAUUGAGAAAAAGCAUGAUUAGUAAUUUAAAUAUUACAUCUUGUAAUCAUGAUAAAAAAAAAAUUAUAUAUAUAGAUUCUAGCAUGCAUGUUCAAAUUGAAUAUAUAUUAAACUUAUAAUUGAUAUCUAAAUAAAAUUCUAGUAUGUAUAGUAAUCAUAUAAUAUAUCUUUAUAAAAACCAAACUUAAGCUCUAAAGUAUAGAAAAAAAAAGUCAAAAAACGAGUCUUUUUAUGAUCUUUGUUUGUUUGCCAAAAUGUUUUUUUUUUUUUUUAACACAUUCAUAGGUUGUUAACCACUUUUAUGUGGUAUAAUUAAACUAAUAAUUUUUAUAAAUUUUUUUAUUUGUAACAUAAACAUAUAAAAAUUAUAAAAUAAACAAAAAAAUAUUAAUAUUUUUUCAAGUCUUUUAAAAAUGGAUAAAAAACCGUUGUUCCAAACUCGACACCAAACACACACAGACACUUGCUCUAAAAUGUAAAUCCCAAUUAGGUUACAAAGAAAGCUUGGUUUGAUCAUCUUAGGUGUGAAAUCUAUUGAAGAUCAAUCCAGAAUUUUCUCACCGCCUACCAUCUUCGGAUCAUGUAGAAAUAUCUAUCCAUAACUCCAGCAGAAAAUAUCUUAGCUACAUGUGGCUGGUGUUGUGUUUAGUAUUACGUUUUAGAAGUAUUUAAAAAAAUAAUAAAAUAUUUUUUAUUUUAAAUUAAUAUUUUUCAGAUUAUUUUUUAUAUACUGAUAUUAAAAUAAUUUUUUAAAAAUAAAAUAAAAAUUAUUUUAAUAUAUUUUAAAAUAAAAAACAUUUUAAAAAAACUACCAUACACCCAAAGACACGUGACAUAUGAUGUAUGCUGGAAAUUUCUCCUACCGACAUAGCAUAGCCACGUGUGGGUGUGUGUGUGGUUCCUUCAUUUUGUGUGGUGGGCAACGAGUGAGAAGAUAGAUGAAUAAGUGAAAGAGUGUCAGAAAAAAGAGAGAUAAUAAUGAAGAGAGUAUUCAGUGUGUGUCGCGUGAGCUUUUGGAAACGCGUUAUCUCGCUUUUUCAAAAAACUUUUAAAUUCUUUUUAUUAAAAUUUAAUUUUUUAUAUAUUUUUUUAAAUAAUUUUAAUAUAUAAAUUUCAAAAAUAAUUUUUAAAAAAUAAAAAAAUAUAUUAUUUUAAUAUAAAAAAUCCUUUAAAAAAUAAUUAUAACUAAAAUGACAAUCACCCAGUUAAAAGACGUAUAAAUUAGUUAGCUUCAAAGUCGUUGCUCAAAAUUCAUGUUCAACAAAGUCUUUUUAUUUUUAUAACAAAAAUUUUCAAAACAUUUAUCGAAAAAGCAAUGUAAAAAAUAAAAAACAUUAAUGGUUAUGGAUAAAGAAAAAAACCAAUGAAUAAUUAAUAUAAAACUUCAUUUUUUUUAAGAUUUGUUUUAUCACUUUCUUUCAAUAUUUUUUUAAUUAUAUAUAAAAUACCGAGAUUUUGAGAUUUUGUUUGAAUGUUAGAAUUAAGAUUUGCUUUUAAGGCCUGGAAAAUAUUGAUUGCAAUUUAUAAAAUAUUCUGAUAUUAGGUUAAUAAAUGAUUUUACAAUUGUUUUUUAUUGUAUUAUUAAAUAAAAUAUAAUUUUAAAAAAUAUAAAUUCUAGUUAAAAGAGUUUUUAAAUUUAAUUUACUGGAUCGGAUUUAAUAAUAAUCUAAAAAAACAUAAGUUUAAUUUUGAAAAUUUUAUUUCAAAGUAUUUUUUUUUCUUUAUUAUAAUUCCUACACUACCCUAAAAGCUCAUUUAAAAACUUAGGCUGCCUUUUCUUUCAUAGAAACAAUUUGCAGUAUAUUUGACAUCUAAUAUACUUUUCACUUAUAACUUAGGCUGCCUUUUCUUUCAUAGAAACAAUUUGCAGUAUAUUUGACAUCUAAUAUACUUUUUCACUUAUAAGAUAGUUUUUAGCUUUUAAUGUAAAAUGAGAUAUAUUAAUUAGGUGUUUGUAUUUUUCCUCUUUUUGUUUACUUCAGCUAAUUUUGUUUCUUCAUAAUAAUAGCAAUGGAUUAAGAUUAAUUAAGAGUGAUGAUCUAAGUGGAGCAAUGUUAUGGAAUUCUAAGCUGCUCUUGAACUCACACUUCAGGGACUUUAGACUUAGUCAGAUUCAUAAACACCAAAUAUUCAAGGAGUGAAUUAAUAGCAAAGUAUAGAUAUAUAGGGCCAUCUGGACAUGCAGGAUGCCAUGAAGAUGAAGGAAUGUUGUGCUCUCAUAAACCGAGACAAAAGAUCUUUAAACAAGUACGUACGAAACUGAAGUAAAAUUUCACUAAUUAGGGCAAAAUCUGCCUGCAAACAUCGAUCACGAGAGAGCUACAGAGAGAGCUCUCUUCUUUAUACGAAAGGAAAUGGCAGAAACAAAACAAGAGAUGAACAUAGCAUUUAAUUUCUAAAUUGCUAUAGACAAUUAUUGGACUGCUCCAUUCAGCUACUUCAUUUGUUCAUGCCAGUUGCAUUCUUCACUCCUUCAACAGCUGCCUGUGCCGUAGACAUCACCUGUUGACCAGCCUAAACCAAGAACAGGUAUCAUAAGUAUAUUAUACAUUUGUCCAUUGUAUUCUUGAGCACAAGCUACUGUAGUGGUGAGGAUGAAUUCUCUCAAAAAUAAAACACAGAAAAUGAGAUUGAAGGAAAGUAUUUGAAUACCCCUUGCACUGAUUCCUUUGCAUAUUGAGCAGCAUUACCAGCUUUGUCCAUCAUGGUAGGACUGGUCUUCUCCUGAAACAAACAAAAUCCAUGCCUUAUCACGUAUUGGAAGAGAAAUAUCAUUGUGUUCUUGAGCACAAGCAAGUGUAGAG